CCCCUACGGGGCGCAGCAGUGGGGAAUAUUGGGCAAUGGGCGCAAGCCUGACCCAGCAACGCCGCGUGAAGGAAGAAGGCUUUCGGGUUGUAAACUUCUUUUAAGAGGGAAGAGUAGAAGACGGUACCUCUUGAAUAAGCCACGGCUAACUACGUGCCAGCAGCCGCGGUAAUACGUAGGUGGCAAGCGUUAUCCGGAUUUAUUGGGUGUAAAGGGCGUGUAGGCGGGAAUGCAAGUCAGAUGUGAAAACUAUGGGCUCAACCCAUAGCCUGCAUUUGAAACUGUAUUUCUUGAGUGCUGGAGAG
RNAcentral lists this ribosomal RNA (305 nucleotides) under uncultured bacterium. RNAcentral describes it as "bacterial SSU rRNA". It matches the Rfam family "Bacterial small subunit ribosomal RNA", at positions 336 to 656 of the family's 1533-position model. The record is from RNAcentral.